CAUGAAAUGUGACAGAAGCAGGUUUAAGUACUUGCUCUGAAUCAGGCAAAGUGAGGAUUUGCUACUGAGCCUCCCUCAUCCCAGGAUUUGAAGAAGCUUACAGAGUUAAGGACUCAGCAGUCAGGGAACACCAAAGGUGGGACUACUACUAUCAUCAGUACUGGAAGCCUGAAACUCCCUAGCCAAGUGCCAGCUCUUGAUGAAGCUCCUACUUCACAUCCCCCAUCUGAAGAGUUUUUGUUUUGCUAGCCAUCAAAGAAGGCUAUCCCUUGAGGAACAGAGAUCCCAUGAGCCCUGGUGACAGGAGUUGUGUAGGAGUAGAGGAGCACUCUUCUAUGCUGCUUACUACUUUGAAGGGGCUGCAGAAUGCAUGAUCCUAGACCUCCAAAAGGCCUCCUCACUUUCUCUGCAAGGGCGGUGAGUCCUGGGCCCAGCCAUCCCCUGUUCCAAAGCAUGGCCCUUUAAGAAUAGAUGUUCCAUGGGAGGACCAAAAGUCAAGCUGGGAAUCAGAUGCUUUAGUGAGGUGGCCAUAAUGCUCAGCAGAUAAAAGAUGGUGGAACUCAGUGCGGUGAAGCUUAGAGUCCGGAGAGAAGCACCCUGAUGAAGCUUGUGAGGAUCACAGCCCAAGGAAGGAGGGCUGUGGAGACCUGUCCAAAGUGGAAGAAUUUUGAGCCCAGUAUCGGGGCAAGGGAAAGGACCGGAGGGAGAAGACACUCCAGAGAAGGCAGGCUGGUACAUAGGAAGAGGUUCUGAGAAGGAAAGAAUGAGUUUGGGUCUGAGCUAUAGGAUUGGUAUCCCAAUUGUUUUGGGUUCCCAGGUCUGGUAGAGGAUGCUGUGACCUCUGCUAUUAAGAGGGAGGAAGAAGGAACUAACCAGAGCUGACAAAGGCUGGAAGCUGACCCCAGAAAGAGGAGAACUGAAGACUGUUGUGUGCUUGGCAUAAGUCUGUGAUGGAAGAUUGGUGUCUGUCUUUUGGACUUUGAUUAUGAUGGAAGGGGUGGGCUUUUGUGAUUUAGUUAAUCACAAAAGUUAAAUCACCUUGGCAACUGAAUUGUUCUGGAGGCUGAGAGAAUUCAUGGAAAACCCAGUAACUAACCUGAAGCUGGAUGACUUCCGUGCUGGCAUCUCUUGAGCGGGCAUGUGUGCAGGGACUGCUACAAUGAAUAAUCUAAAGUACUGUAUCUGGAAAUGCAUUUUGGGGAAACUGUUUUCUGUUAUUAAACGACGGCUUGCACACGUAAGCUUUUAUACAUAUUUGAAAUAUAUUUGUAUUAGAGCAACAAAUUCAGCAUUGAUUUACACCCAGUGCCUCUCAGUUAAAUCAGCCUGUGGUGGUGAUGGGUGUAAAUCAAUGCAGAAUCUCUCAUUGCAUUCAGCUGGGCAAUCAAAUCACAUGAUAAAGAAGUCAUGAAUUAAUUACAUAUUUUGAGCUUUAUAGUGUAGCCUUGAGUUUACCAGCCCAAUCACAAAAUCUCUUAGAAUACAUACUUUUAAUCCUAUAAUUAUGAUACUGAUGUCAUCCUUGACACUUUUUAAAAAAUUGCUCAGUGUGCCUCUGUGAUUUUAAUUCCAGGUCCAAUCUUGGCAUUUUCUAGACCCACUUUGGACGUGGCUUAAAUGGCAGAAGUCUUGUGACUUCUGAAGGCAUAAUUUAGACCUAAAGAUUUAAUUGUGCAUAAAAAAGGGGGCAGCUCAAACUAUAACUGCAUUUUCAUAUGCUUUCUGGAUCCUAGUCCUGCUCCCUUUUAGGUUUGGGCUCUGCAUAGAAAUAUUUCUUUGUAAUUUAUUCUGAACUGACAUUUUACUUCUUAAGGGAGAAAUCAGUGCAUACAUGUUUGCCUUAUGCAAACCUUAUUUAUAUUAUUCCCAGACCUGUAGGGAUGACAGAACCUAAUAAGGUGUCAAACUAAAAUUCUCAUGAAGUGGACACAUUUAAUCCAAAUGAGUUUCACAGUAGAAUGCUCUUCUGUUGACCCUGGACAUUGGGCAAAAUGUUCCAGGAAUAAAACUCCUACAGAAAAAUGUAUUUGCAUAAAUCUGAGUAGAGAGAACAAACAUACCACUCAUCUUUUGCAUAGUUUCUGUGUGAUUGCUACUGUUAAUAGUUUUCCUUGUAGGGACUGAAUCUAAUGAAAAAAGGACAUUCCCACUUACAUUACUCCAAACAAGUGCUGUUUCCUAUGAGUGCUGAUGUUAGUAUAUAACAACCAUCACCCUCUAAUCAGAAAUAUUCCUGCUGUCUCAGCUCAGAACACAUUAUUUACUAAGCCUGAACUAUGCUAAGUUCAUUUUUUGUCACCUUCGUUAAUAAAGUCCCACCCCAAAAUUUGUCCGCAUGUUAAUUAUUUUAAGUAGAAACUCCAAUUCCUUAAACUAUUUUUAAAAUUUCUGCCAUCUAGAGCCAGUUUUGUAGCAUAACAUCUUAACACGGUUAAUGUGUGACCAUUUCAGUAACAGCUUGUCCUCUGACCUUAAUACCCCCAACUAAGAGACUAUUCAUGUUGGAUGUGAACUGAAACACUACAAAAGGACAUGGGUGGCAAGAUGACAAAGUGGAAUAGAGGCCUACAAGGGGAAGUUUGGACUGUCGAGAUUUGUAGCACUGUUUCAAGUGGGGCUGAUAUUAGAGAUGUCUUGCAGACACACAGGGCCAGAUCGUCCGCUGUUGUUAAUUGACAUAGGUUCUUUGCCUUCAAUAAAGCUAUACUGAUGUACAUCAGUAUAAGUCCAUUGCUUUCACAGAAGUUAUGCUGAUGUACAGCAGCUGAGGGUUUGGCCCAGAAUUUCCAUCUCUGUAGUGAUAGUAAGAUAUUAACUCAGUGGGAAUUCUAUUUUUUUUUUUUAAUUCACCAGAUUCCGUACCCUACCUGUUGUUUUCCAUUUGAUAGCAUGUCUGGGUCCAGACAGUUAAUUGCAUCCCAAUCUUGGUUCAGUGCCCUGACAUCUCUGAUUGCACUGUCUUCUUCCAUAUUGUUGUGGCAAUGUUGAAAACAGUUGCUGUUUCCCCCCUCAGGUCUGGAGACAUUGAGUGAAAAUAAACAUGUACAAGAAACUGUAGCUGACAGGAGGGUACAAGAAGUUAAGCCAGGUCAGUGAGACUGUGCCUGAUCUGAGUGUAUUCUAUCCUCAGCAUAACUAAGCAGUCUUCCCAAGUGGAGGUCAUUCCAGCUCAUUUAAAAAAAAUAAAAAACAGUCGUCAGUGAUUAGGGACCCAUCUGCAGCUCCGAUUAUAUCAAAAAGAUAGAAAAGGAGACUGGGUGAAGGAGAUGCCAAGGCUAUUGGAGUGAGGAAAGCAGGAAUUACUGAGCCUGGAAAACUUGUGGUGGCUCAGUCCACCUAUGUUUGCUGGUUCACUGGCAGCCUUCCUUUCCCACCAGGAGGGAUAGUGGUGUGAGGGACAAAUGGGUCCAUUCCAGAGCACGUCCUCCCACAAACAGGAAUGAAAAGAAAAUGGCAGUGUGGAGAGAACACUGGACCCACUCCCUAGCAGUUGAGAUCUUCAGACUCGUUUUGGAUUGUCACCUAGUUUGAUGCACUCAUCCAGCAUGCCUCCUUGCUUUAAAAAGGCUGUUCUCAUACAGACAUACUUUGAGUAAUCCUGUAAUGGCCACUAACAGGGACUACUAUAAAUGAUACACUUUUACAGAAAUGUACUUCUCUACAGUUGCAUCAUGCACCCCUUUUUCCAACUGACUAAACUUCCAUUCUGGGAAACCUCUCAAAACAAACUGUAAGGAACUCUAA
This is a long non-coding RNA of Chelonia mydas (Green sea turtle), 3744 nucleotides long. RefSeq lists it as uncharacterized. Lineage: Eukaryota; Metazoa; Chordata; Testudines; Cheloniidae. The record is from RefSeq and is a predicted model, not a curated record. The transcript has 5 exons.